GACGAACGCUGGCGGCGUGCUUAACACAUGCAAGUCGAACGGAGCGAAUGAAAGCUUGCUUUUAUGAGCUUAGUGGCAAACGGGUGAGUAACACGUAGACAACCUGCCGAUAGGAUGGGGACAACAUUCCGAAAGGAAUGCUAAUACCGAAUGGCGUGUAGGGGAGGCAUCUCCCGUACAUGAAAGAUGGCCUCUGAAUAUGCUAUCACCUAUCGAUGGGUCUGCGUCUGAUUAGCUAGUAGGUAAGGUAACGGCUUACCUAGGCGACGAUCAGUAGCCGGUCUGAGAGGAUGAACGGCCACAUUGGGACUGAGACACGGCCCAGACUCCUACGGGAGGCAGCAGUGGGGAAUCUUCCGCAAUGGGCGCAAGCCUGACGGAGCAACGCCGCGUGAGUGAAGAAGGUCUUUGGAUCGUAAAGCUCUGUGAAAGGGGACGAACGAUCGAGGGGGCG
This 454-nucleotide ribosomal RNA is filed under the name Selenomonas sp. oral taxon E83. Its description in RNAcentral is "bacterial SSU rRNA". It matches the Rfam family "Bacterial small subunit ribosomal RNA", at positions 28 to 463 of the family's 1533-position model. The record is from RNAcentral. Lineage: Bacteria; Bacillati; Bacillota; Negativicutes; Selenomonadales; Selenomonadaceae.